This 346-nucleotide unclassified non-coding RNA is filed under the name soil metagenome. RNAcentral describes it as "partial contains 5.8S ribosomal RNA, internal transcribed spacer 2, and large subunit ribosomal RNA". The stretch from base 1 to 119 matches the Rfam family "5.8S ribosomal RNA", at positions 35 to 154 of the family's 154-position model. The record is from RNAcentral.
GAUGAAGAACGUAGCGAAAUGAGAUACGUAAUGUGAAUUGCAAAUUCAGUGAAUCAUCGAGUCUUUGAACGCACAUUGCGCCCCCUGGUAUUCCGGGGGGCAUGCCUGUCCGAGCGUCAUUGCUGCCCUCAAGCACGGCUUGUGUGUUGGGCCCCGUCCUCCGAUCCCGGGGGACGGGCCCGAAAGGCAGCGGCGGCACCGCGUCCGGUCCUCGAGCGUAUGGGGCUUUGUCACCCGCUCUGUAGGCCCGGCCGGCGCUUGCCGAUCAACCCAAAUUUUUUAUCCAGGUUGACCUCGGAUCAGGUAGGGAUACCCGCUGAACUUAAGCAUAUCAAUAAGCGGAGGA